This 815-nucleotide ribosomal RNA is filed under the name Pruinomycena acicula. RNAcentral describes it as "Mycena acicula eukaryotic LSU rRNA". The stretch from base 273 to 426 matches the Rfam family "5.8S ribosomal RNA". Lineage: Eukaryota; Fungi; Basidiomycota; Agaricomycetes; Agaricales. The record is from RNAcentral.
GUCGUAACAAGGUUUCCGUAGGUGAACCUGCGGAAGGAUCAUUAUCGAAGCUGAACACAAGUUGUUGCUGGCUCCCUAGGGGCAUGUGCACACUUGUAAGUCUUCAACUCUUCCCCUUUGUGCACUUUUGGCUAGUACUAUAUACUUGAAGCGAGAAAUGUUUCUCUAACCGGAAACGUUUUGUUGAUCUUUUAGUGUGUGCUAUGCACCUUUUUACAAACGUAUGUUUUUGAAUGUCAUUGCAAGGUCUUUGUACCUGUAAAUCUAUAUACAACUUUCAGCAACGGAUCUCUUGGCUCUCGCAUCGAUGAAGAACGCAGCGAAAUGCGAUAAUUAAUGUGAAUUGCAGAAUUCAGUGAAUCAUCGAAUCUUUGAACGCACCUUGCACCCUUUGGUAUUCCGAAGGGUAUGCCUGUUUGAGUGUCAUUAAAUUCUCAACCAUACAAGUUUUUUCUUGUAAGGCUUGGAUGUGGAGGCUUUGCAGGUUCCUUAGUGAAUCUGCUCCUCUUAAAUGCAUUAGUGGGAACCGUUUGUAGGGGUUCAUUUAUGUAUUCACUUGAUGUGAUAGUUGUAUCAUCAUCGAUAUGUGAAUUACGGGAACUCUGAGGCUCUUGCUUCUAACAGUCUUGAACAAAGACAAUUUAAAUCUCAAUUUGACCUCAAAUCAGGUAGGACUACCCGCUGAACUUAAGCAUAUCAAUAAGCGGAGGAAAAGAAACUAACAAGGAUUCCCCUAGUAACUGCGAGUGAAGAGGGAAGAGCUCAAAUUUAAAAUCUGGCAGGUCUUGCGCUUGUCCGAGUUGUAAAUUAGAGAA